GUAGAGAGGUGCUUGCACCUCUUGAGAGCGGCGGACGGGUGAGUAAUACCUAGGAAUCUGCCUGGUAGUGGGGGAUAACGUUCGGAAACGGACGCUAAUACCGCAUACGUCCUACGGGAGAAAGCAGGGGACCUUCGGGCCUUGCGCUAUCAGAUGAGCCUAGGUCGGAUUAGCUAGUUGGUGAGGUAAUGGCUCACCAAGGCUACGAUCCGUAACUGGUCUGAGAGGAUGAUCAGUCACACUGGAACUGAGACACGGUCCAGACUCCUACGGGAGGCAGCAGUGGGGAAUAUUGGACAAUGGGCGAAAGCCUGAUCCAGCCAUGCCGCGUGUGUGAAGAAGGUCUUCGGAUUGUAAAGCACUUUAAGUUGGGAGGAAGGGCAUUAACCUAAUACGUUAGUGCUUUGACGUUACCGACAGAAUAAGCACCGGCUAACUCUGUGCCAGCAGCCGCGGUAAUACAGAGGGUGCAAGCGUUAAUCGGAAUUACUGGGCGUAAAGCGCGCGUAGGUGGUUUGUUAAGUUGAAUGUGAAAUCCCCGGGCUCAACCUGGGAACUGCAUCCAAAACUGGCAAGCUAGAGUAUGGUAGAGGGUAGUGGAAUUUCCUGUGUAGCGGUGAAAUGCGUAGAUAUAGGAAGGAACACCAGUGGCGAAGGCGACUACCUGGACUGAUACUGACACUGAGGUGCGAAAGCGUGGGGAGCAAACAGGAUUAGAUACCCUGGUAGUCCACGCCGUAAACGAUGUCAACUAGCCGUUGGGAACCUUGAGUUCUUACUGGCGCAGCUAACGCAUUAAG
RNAcentral lists this ribosomal RNA (800 nucleotides) under Pseudomonas sp. RNAcentral's name for it is "bacterial SSU rRNA". It matches the Rfam family "Bacterial small subunit ribosomal RNA", at positions 68 to 864 of the family's 1533-position model. Lineage: Bacteria; Pseudomonadati; Pseudomonadota; Gammaproteobacteria; Pseudomonadales; Pseudomonadaceae. The record is from RNAcentral.